UGUUCUGGCUUUCACCCCAGGAAAUCACUCGACCACACCCUACAAGGGCCGAAUGACGAUGUGGUCGAGUAUAGCGAAUGAUGCAGUCACUAAUUCACUCGACCGCGGUGCUGGCCGCAGAAGAAGAAGAGAGGUCGAGUAUCAUCAGAGCGAUGCUGGCCGCGACGAAGGAGCAGAGGUCGAGUACCCCCAGGGGGAAGCUGAGACACAACAAGGAGAUUCUUCGAUGGCCUGGGAGCAAUCACAAGCAGCUAUUGACGACCAACUCCGCUCCUUCUUCCACUGAGGUAUGCACCUCACUCCACCAUUGUAAUAUACCAUCUCUUGUUUUUAUUUUGUUUUUGUGAUGUGUUUUGUCCUGAGUACUCUCUUCCAAAUUUGGUCACUUAGUGGAU
This 395-nucleotide small RNA is filed under the name Arabidopsis thaliana (thale cress). RNAcentral describes it as "ATSL035540". The record is from RNAcentral. Lineage: Eukaryota; Viridiplantae; Streptophyta; Magnoliopsida; Brassicales; Brassicaceae.